RNAcentral lists this ribosomal RNA (450 nucleotides) under uncultured Peptostreptococcaceae bacterium. Its description in RNAcentral is "bacterial SSU rRNA". It matches the Rfam family "Bacterial small subunit ribosomal RNA", at positions 28 to 505 of the family's 1533-position model. The record is from RNAcentral. Lineage: Bacteria; Bacillati; Bacillota; Clostridia; Peptostreptococcales; Peptostreptococcaceae.
GAUGAACGCUGGCGGCGUGCCUAACACAUGCAAGUCGAACGAUUCUCUUCGGAGAAGAGCGGCGGACGGGUGAGUAACGCGUGGGUAACCUGCCCUGUACACACGGAUAACAUACCGAAAGGUAUGCUAAUACGGGAUAACAUAUUUUAGUCGCAUGGCUGAAAUAUCAAAGCUCCGGCGGUACAGGAUGGACCCGCGUCUGAUUAGCUAGUUGGUGAGGUAAUGGCUCACCAAGGCGACGAUCAGUAGCCGACCUGAGAGGGUGAUCGGCCACACUGGAACUGAGACACGGUCCAGACUCCUACGGGAGGCAGCAGUGGGGAAUAUUGCACAAUGGGCGAAAGCCUGAUGCAGCAACGCCGCGUGAGCGAUGAAGGCCUUCGGGUCGUAAAGCUCUGUCCUCAAGGAAGAUAAUGACGGUACUUGAGGAGGAAGCCCCGGCUAACUACG